Molecule: ribosomal RNA, 483 nt
Filed under: uncultured bacterium
Lineage: Bacteria
Description: partial 16S ribosomal RNA
Rfam family: Bacterial small subunit ribosomal RNA
Source: RNAcentral
AUUGAACGCUGGCGGCAGGCCUAACACAUGCAAGUCGAGCGGAUGAAGGGAGCUUGCUCCUGGAUUCAGCGGCGGACGGGUGAGUAAUGCCUAGGAAUCUGCCUGGUAGUGGGGGAUAACGUCCGGAAACGGGCGCUAAUACCGCAUACGUCCUGAGGGAGAAAGUGGGGGAUCUUCGGACCUCACGCUAUCAGAUGAGCCUAGGUCGGAUUAGCUAGUUGGUGGGGUAAAGGCCUACCAAGGCGACGAUCCGUAACUGGUCUGAGAGGAUGAUCAGUCACACUGGAACUGAGACACGGUCCAGACUCCUACGGGAGGCGGCAGGGGGGAAUAUUGGACAAUGGGCGAAAGCCUGAUCCAGCCAUGCCGCGUGUGUGAAGAAGGUCUUCGGGUGGUAAGGCACUUAAGUUGGGAGGAAGGGCAGUAAGUUAAUACCUUGCUGUUUUGACGUUACCAACAGAAUAAGCACCGGCUAACUUCGUG